RNAcentral lists this long non-coding RNA (277 nucleotides) under Elaeis guineensis (African oil palm). Its description in RNAcentral is "long non-coding RNA (EGUI_LNC042904)". Lineage: Eukaryota; Viridiplantae; Streptophyta; Magnoliopsida; Arecales; Arecaceae. The record is from RNAcentral.
UGGAGGAGAUUCAAGGUUCUUUUCGGAUGUGCUUAAAGGACCCAAGUGAUUGAUGUUAUCUCGAUCAAGAUCUUGAAGGAGAUCAAUUGACUGAUCUAUUCACUGGUCCCCUUCGGCACUCAUCUGUAGGACAUUUUGUAACUCCACCCACCAUUAAGGCAAGAGAAUCUUUCCAGGGAACAAACUGGGGAGUAGUCCCAGGCCUACCCAGCCUGCCACAUGGUGGAUUGAAGUGGGUCUCAAAGCAUUUCAUGGACUACUCCUGAGGAUUUGGAAU